RNAcentral lists this transfer RNA (73 nucleotides) under Sus scrofa (pig). It matches the Rfam family "tRNA". Rfam says of the family: Transfer RNA (tRNA) molecules are approximately 80 nucleotides in length. Their secondary structure includes four short double-helical elements and three loops (D, anti-codon, and T loops). Further hydrogen bonds mediate the characteristic L-shaped molecular structure. tRNAs have two regions of fundamental functional importance: the anti-codon, which is responsible for specific mRNA codon recognition, and the 3' end, to which the tRNAs corresponding amino acid is attached (by aminoacyl-tRNA synthetases). tRNAs cope with the degeneracy of the genetic code in two manners: having more than one tRNA (with a specific anti-codon) for a particular amino acid; and 'wobble' base-pairing, i.e. permitting non-standard base-pairing at the 3rd anti-codon position. The record is from Rfam by way of RNAcentral. Lineage: Eukaryota; Metazoa; Chordata; Mammalia; Artiodactyla; Suidae.
UCCCUGGUGGCCUAAUGGUUAGGAUUCAGCAUUUUCACUGCUGUCAUCUCAGGUUCAAUUCCUGGUUUAGGAA